Hucho hucho (huchen) is the source of this 93-nucleotide unclassified non-coding RNA. Its record names the gene Vault. It matches the Rfam family "Vault RNA". Rfam says of the family: This family of RNAs are found as part of the enigmatic vault ribonucleoprotein complex. The complex consists of a major vault protein (MVP), two minor vault proteins (VPARP and TEP1), and several small untranslated RNA molecules. The record is from Ensembl. Lineage: Eukaryota; Metazoa; Chordata; Actinopteri; Salmoniformes; Salmonidae.
ACGCUGGUUUAGCUCAGUGGUUACUUCAACCGAAAUCCCGUUUCAUGGUCCGCGGGCCAGAAGUACUAACCACGGGCGCUGUCCCACGUUUUA